Oncorhynchus tshawytscha (Chinook salmon) is the source of this 1341-nucleotide long non-coding RNA. Lineage: Eukaryota; Metazoa; Chordata; Actinopteri; Salmoniformes; Salmonidae. The record is from Ensembl.
UGAAACCCCUGUCUUCUGUUCUCACUCGAAUCUCUCAAUUUAUUUUUGUAUCUAACUGGUUCGUGCUGGUUUCUUUGUGCUUCAUGUUGAAUUCUGGUUGGAUCAUGCUGAAUUCUGGUUGGAUCAUGCUGAAUUGUGGUGGGAUCAUGCUGAAUUCUGGACAGAUCGUGCUGAAUUGUGGUGGGAUCAUGCUGAAUUCUGGUGGGAUCAUGCUGAAUUCUGGUUGGAUCGUGCUGAAUUCUGGUCGGAUCGUGCUGAAUUGUGGUCGGAUCAUGGUGAAUUCUGGUCGGAUCAUGCUGCAUUCUGGUUGGAUCAUGUUCAUUGUUUUCUAUUGAAAGGUGGGAAAAGAACAGUUCAAACUAGGUCCAUACAUAAUAAAACACUGUGUUUGUGUGUGCAUGUGCAUGCGCGUGUGUGUGUUUGAGUGUGAGCACAUGCUGUUUUAGCCUAUGUGUGUACGUCUUUUACCUCUCUCCUGUACCACAUCUCUCCCGACAUUGUCACUACAUGCAACAUCCUCAGGAGGUGCACUGGAUCCUGUGAUAUUAUACAGAAUUCUACACUAAUUUCAUGUUUCAAUCAGAUUUGAAAGUGGUGCUCAAAUGCCAUAGCAGUAAUACAUUCUCUUUCUCAAAAAAUUAAAAUGAACAUUGAGGAUUAGAACAAGAGCAUAGAGGCCCAACCUGCACAGAAAUGGGUGUUGAUAUAGUCUGGUGUUCUUUCAGUAGAAACUCCUAAAACAAGAAAGGGCACUUCUAUAAGAUUAUCACUUUUUCAAGGGGUAAUGUAUAUUUUGGAAGUACAAGUACAUCACAUUUCACAAACAUAUUAGGCUACUUUGAAAUGUUCUACCACUGCAUCCCUGCAGUUCCUCUUUCUAAAGCGUAUACUGGGUGGCAUUAAGACAUGCCUACAGGCCUGUUUAAACUGUGCAAUGUGCAUAUUUUCAGUGGGAUAUGUAGCUACUUAACUGACAUGGAAGCAGCUUGCAAAGUUGCACAAUCAACAUAAUAACAUUUACAUCAGAAAGAAAGGAUGCUGCUUAACGCUCAUAGGAAGGUUCGGAUUAGCCCAAAUAACUGUUGCUGUACUCAAUGAAGCAUACUGUAUACUGUGCAUGCCGUGCUAGCUGCUUCAUCCAUAUCAUUCCAAUGCAGAAGUAAAACUGAGUGAGUCAGAUGGAACAAUGGGGGUGCUCACGUGUCCAUUUCACUCAGCAGAAACAGCCACUUAGGAGCACUAGGAGGAUGGCCAAACUGCCGACGCUGAAAAACAACACGAUGUGUGAACCUAGACGAGUAAAGAGGAAGAGGUGGUUUUAUUCACAUUCCUGUAUCUUAC